This 551-nucleotide ribosomal RNA is filed under the name uncultured bacterium. Its description in RNAcentral is "bacterial SSU rRNA". It matches the Rfam family "Bacterial small subunit ribosomal RNA", at positions 772 to 1319 of the family's 1533-position model. The record is from RNAcentral.
ACGUAAUAGAUACCCCGGUAGUCCACGCCCUAAACGAUGUCUACUAGUUGUUGGUGGAGUAAAAUCCAUGAGUAAACGCAGCUAAACGCGUGAAGUAGACCGCCUGGGGAGUACGGUCGCAAGAUUAAAACUCAAAUGAAUUGACGGGGGCCCGCACAAGCGGUGGAUUAUGUGGAUUAAAUUCGAUGCAACGCGAAAAACCUUACCUGGCCUUGACAUGUAACGAACUUUCCAGAGAUGGAUUGGUGCUCGAAAGAGAACGUUAACACAGGUGCUGCAUGGCUGUCGUCAGCUCGUGUCGUGAGAUGUUGGGUUAAGUCCCGCAACGAGCGCAACCCUUGCCAUUAAUUGCCAUCAUUUAGUUGGGCACUUUAAUGGGACUGCCGGUGACAAACCGGAGGAAGGUGGGGAUGACGUCAAGUCCUCAUGGCCCUUAUGGCCAGGGCUUCACACGUAAUACAAUGGUCGGUACAGAGGGUUGCCAACCCGCGAGGGGUAGCCAAUCCCAGAAAGCCGAUCGUAGUCCGGAUUGUAGUCUGCAACUCGACUAC